This 301-nucleotide ribosomal RNA is filed under the name uncultured bacterium. RNAcentral's name for it is "partial 16S ribosomal RNA". It matches the Rfam family "Bacterial small subunit ribosomal RNA", at positions 509 to 809 of the family's 1533-position model. The record is from RNAcentral.
CAGUAGCCGCGGUAAUACGUAGGUGGCAAGCGUUGUCCGGAAUUAUUGGGCGUAAAGGGCUCGCAGGCGGUUUCUUAAGUCUGAUGUGAAAGCCCCCGGCUCAACCGGGAGGGUCAUUGGAAACUGGGAAACUUGAGUGCAGAAGAGGAGAGUGGAAUUCCACGUGUAGCGGUGAAAUGCGUAGAGAUGUGGAGGAACACCAGUGGCGAAGGCGACUCUCUGGUCUGUAACUGACGCUGAGGAGCGAAAGCGUGGGGAGCGAACAGGAUUAGAACCCGCGUAGUCCCUGUCUCUUAUACAC